AUGAAUGGAAACCAUGUGCAUCCCUGCUGGACACAUAAUUUUUCUUGCUACUAUACUAAUCAAGUCACAUUUUGUUCAAUUUGCUACCAUGUAGUUGUGUACAAGGAUGUACCUGGCUGGGCAAAGUCGCUCGAGUCUGCUCUGUCUCACCAUCAAAAAUCACCACCGUGGCCGUGUCUUGGCCGUCGGGGAUAUGUCUUCGCCCUGGCCCUUCCUGUGAGGCCGGGUCACGGCUCCUCGAUACAUCAGCGAGGAGGAUAUCAGGUCAUGGAAGCAAAAAGGAAGAAUUUUCUUCAAGUUGCUACCAUGUAG
Molecule: ribosomal RNA, 312 nt
Filed under: Triticum aestivum (bread wheat)
Lineage: Eukaryota; Viridiplantae; Streptophyta; Magnoliopsida; Poales; Poaceae
Description: partial small subunit ribosomal RNA
Source: RNAcentral